GAUGAACGCUGGCGGCGUGCCUAAUACAUGCAAGUCGAGCGAACGGACGAGAAGCUUGCUUCUCUGAUGUUAGCGGCGGACGGGUGAGUAACACGUGGAUAACCUACCUAUAAGACUGGGAUAACUUCGGGAAACCGUAGCUAAUACCGGAUAAUAUUUUGAACCGCAUGGUUCAAAAGUGAAAGACGGUCUUGCUGUCACUUAUAGAUGGAUCCGCGCUGCAUUAGCUAGUUGGUAAGGUAACGGCUUACCAAGGCAACGAUGCAUAGCCGACCUGAGACGGUGAUCGGCCACACUGGAACUGAGACACGGUCCAGACUCCUACGGGAGGCAGCAGUAGGGAAUCUUCCGCAAUGGGCGAAAGCCUGACGGAGCAACGCCGCGUGAGUGAUGAAGGUCUUCGGAUCGUAAAACUCUGUUAUUAGGGAAGAACAUAUGUGUAAGUAACUGUGCACAUCUUGACGGUACCUAAUCAGAAAGCCACGGCUAACUACGUG
RNAcentral lists this ribosomal RNA (497 nucleotides) under uncultured bacterium. Its description in RNAcentral is "partial 16S ribosomal RNA". It matches the Rfam family "Bacterial small subunit ribosomal RNA", at positions 28 to 507 of the family's 1533-position model. The record is from RNAcentral.